This is a non-coding RNA of Sphingobium sp. Ant17, 116 nucleotides long. The record is from Rfam. NCBI's taxonomy places the organism in Bacteria, Pseudomonadati, Pseudomonadota, Alphaproteobacteria, Sphingomonadales, Sphingobiaceae.
AACGACCUUGACCAAGACGGAUACUCGACCGCCCCGGGAGAUGAUGAUGGCGUUCAUCGACGUCCAUCGCGAGGAUUUGGGUAUCGAGCCGAUCUGCCGGGAACUGGCAAUCGCCC